GAUGAAGAACGUAGCGAAAUGCGAUACGUAAUGUGAAUUGCAGAAUUCAGUGAAUCAUCGAGUCUUUGAACGCACAUUGCGCCCCCUGGUAUUCCGGGGGGCAUGCCUGUCCGAGCGUCAUUGCUGCCCUCAAGCACGGCUUGUGUGUUGGGCCUCCGUCCUCCUCCCGGGGGACGGGCCCGAAAGGCAGCGGCGGCACCGCGUCCGGUCCUCGAGCGUAUGGGGCUUCGUCACCCGCUCUUGUAGGCCCGGCCGGCGCUUGCCGACACAUUAAUCUUUUUUCCAGGUUGACCUCGGAUCAGGUAGGGAUACCCGCUGAACUUAAGCAUAUCAAUAAGCGGAGGA
RNAcentral lists this unclassified non-coding RNA (345 nucleotides) under soil metagenome. Its description in RNAcentral is "partial contains 5.8S ribosomal RNA, internal transcribed spacer 2, and large subunit ribosomal RNA". The stretch from base 1 to 120 matches the Rfam family "5.8S ribosomal RNA", at positions 35 to 154 of the family's 154-position model. The record is from RNAcentral.